AUGAUAGCAAUGAAAAAAAUUUGUGGUAUUCAAAAGGCUUAUCUCUUGUGUAUUAUAAAGAAAGCAAUCAAGGAUAAAAGGUUUCAGGACCACAGGAAACAUGGAAAUGUGCAAAAUGCACAUGCUGUAAGGCAUCCUUCAAUACUUAAAGCAUGCACUGGUGCCUCCUUCCUGUUGAUGGUUGGAUGAGAACCAGCUUUAAGACCUCUGGAUUUGUGGAAUCUGUGUGCUUAGAUUCACCUUCUACAGGUGUCUCCAAUUAAAUAGGUGUGAUACAUCCAAUAUCUACUGCCCCUGCUGCAUACUGUAGGUGUCAAAAUGCUCCUGUGAUUGAUUUCUAAAAACCUGGGCUUACAUGUAUACACACCAUACACUGUAACAUUAUUAAUGCUGUAAAAUAAAAUACUCAAAAGGCACA
Molecule: long non-coding RNA, 418 nt
Filed under: Cyanistes caeruleus (blue tit)
Lineage: Eukaryota; Metazoa; Chordata; Aves; Passeriformes; Paridae
Description: lncRNA (ENSCCEG00000011644.1)
Source: RNAcentral